UGGUCGAUUAAAAACGCAGGGAACGAGCAGGAGCUUCACACAAACCCUAACUCUCACUAAAUCAAUCAAUUGAAGGCUCUAAUCUGGUCCAAAUCGAAAUCCGAGCACGUAUUAGUGAUCCCCACUGAAAAAGGAGUCACAAGGUAUGUAAAUUUUAUGAAAAAUCUCUAUUUGACUCUGACAAGUAGGUAGGAGCUUGGAAAUGAACGGGUCAAAUGGAUACAAGUUCAAGUAUGAAGCUCGCAAGGAUGCAAGGUAAGUAUAACUUACACUAGUCAUAUAUUUUAGAAUGUUCUUUUGUCGUAUUGACUACGAAUAAGACAAAUGGUAAUUUAGUCACACGUUGACAAUAAUCGUUAGUUUUAAAAGACGCUUUCCCGCGUAAGACAUAAAGAGCCGAAAGUGGUAAUAAACGGUUUAUAAAUAAAAUGAGCAUACGGUGUUAAAAGGAGCGAGUCAUGUAGAUGAGAUGAUAAUAAAUAUUAUCUCGCAAAGAUAAACGGUCAAUUCGGCCAAACGGGUCAAAAGGUGUAGACAUCACCUUUUGACAAUAUCGACUAAUGAUUCUGGUGUCGAGUUAUAUGUUUACAGGAGUAGAUAUCCAAUGGAUACUCGCAUCGCUCUUAAUUAGCAAUUAUAAAGCAAGGUAUUAAACCGGGUUAGUAAGUUGAUCCGAGCCAGGUAUGUAUAAUAGAUUAACUCAUCUGUAGAACUUGAAGUUCUAUGAAAGUUAGGCAAAAUAAAAAAAAGGGCAUUCGAUUACCUUAAUAGGUAAACCGAAGGAUUUAAAUUAUUUAGACAGAAUGUUUUGAAAACAAGAUUUGGUUAAAAAUGAGAAAUUAGAAUCAAACAACAGGUUUGUUUGAUAAAAUCACGAACGGGUCAA
This 886-nucleotide long non-coding RNA is filed under the name Helianthus annuus (common sunflower). Lineage: Eukaryota; Viridiplantae; Streptophyta; Magnoliopsida; Asterales; Asteraceae. The record is from RNAcentral.